Molecule: long non-coding RNA, 3643 nt
Organism: Antechinus flavipes (yellow-footed antechinus)
Lineage: Eukaryota; Metazoa; Chordata; Mammalia; Dasyuromorphia; Dasyuridae
Exons: 2
Source: RefSeq, a predicted model, not a curated record
AAGGAAAGAAGGAAGGAAGGAAGGAAGGAAGGAAGGAAGGAAGGAAGGAAGGAAGGAAGGAAGGAAGGAAGGAAGGAAGGAAAGAAGGAAGGAAGAAAAGAUGGAAGUAAAGAAAAAAGAAAAAAAGAAAAAGAACCAGGCAUUAAAAUGAUAAAAUGGUGAGCUUGACUUUGAUUCUUGAGAAAACUGUAGAACAAAUUAUUAAAGAAAAAACUGGCAAACAUUUAGAAAGGGAAGUUUUAAUGAUGAGCCAGCAUGGUUUCAUAAAGAACAAAUCAUGUCACAUCAAUAAUCUCAUUUCCUUUUCUCACAGAAUUACUUUACUAGCAGAUGAGAAGAAUGCUGCAAAUCUAUUUAUCCAGAUUUUACUUUUUAUAAAAGAACUCACUCUAUUACUGAUGAGAAGAUGGAAAAUUAAGGAUAAGAUGGCUUCAGUACUCUUUGGAUGAUAGGAUUCCGGUGGUUCAAUGUCACCAUGGCAUGAAGUUUCUAGUGGAAUACAUCAGGCAUUUGUACUUAAUCUUGUGUUGUUUAACAUUUUUAUCCAUGAUUUCAACAAUGACAAGGAUUACAUAUUUACCAAAUUUUAGACGACACAAAGCUGGGAAUGAUAACAAAUAUUGUAGAAGACAGUCAAUGCAAGAAAAGAAUUUUGGCAUGCUAGAGCAUUGAAUAGAAAUGGAUAAAAUGAAAUUCAUUAGGAAUAAAAGUAAAAUAUUCCACUUCAGUUUGAAAAAAAAUCAGUGUCACCUGUUUAAGAUGGGAAAGAUAUGGCUAGAUAGUAAUUGUUCUGAAAAAGAGCUAGAGGUUUUAGUGGGAUCUAAUCUCAAUCAUAAUCGGUGGUUUUACAGGGCAGCAGAGUUUCCAGGAAAGGGGAAGUAAUAGUCCAGUUGUAUUAUGCCCUUGUCAAGAGUAUUGUAUUCUGUCCUGAACAUCAUAGUUAAAGAAGGAUAUUGGUAAGCUAGAGACUCAUACAGGAUAGCAAAAAAUCUUGAAUCCAAGUCAUAGAGGGAUGAGUUGAAGGAAUUGGGCAUGUUUAGCUUGGAGAAAAGAAGACUGAGUGGUUUCAUGUAGAAGAAGAAUUAGACUUCAUUUGACCCUAGAAGGCAGAGCCAGGGAAGAAGUGGCAACAAGUUUCAACUACUGGGAAAUAUCCUAAUUAUUAGAGCUGUUUAACAAUGGUAUAGACUAUCUUCAGAAGUGGCAGAUUAUUUUACUUAGAGGCUAGACAACUACUAGUUGGUUAUGUUAGAGUUGGGGUUCCUUUCUUGCAUAGAUUGUGUUUCAUGGCUACUGAGAUCUUUCCCACUCUCAAAUUCCGUAAUACUGUGACUAGAUAACCACUAAGGUUAGUCCAGUUAUGACUCUUAAUCUUUGCAAUCCUCCUGAGCCCUUGACUGUUGUUGUUAUUGUUCAGUUGUAUCCUCCUCUUUUCCCAUUUCAAUGGAUCAUUUUGUCAAGUAAACAGAGAUUAAAUAAAUUGCCUAGGCUCACACAGGUAUGAAGUAUCUGGGGCUGGAUUUGAACUCAGCUCUUUCUGACUCCAGGUCCAGGACUCUCUCUUAUUUAUCCAUUGAGCCAUCAAUUGUCUCAUCUUGCUCCAAUAGGGUCCAUGAUGGGAGAGGGCUUUCUCCCACCUCUCCGACCAAAUUUGGUUGUGCCACAUUGCCUUAUCAUGGUCAGUUUUCCCCUCUCUGGCCAGUAAUCCUCUAUCAACUUUCCCAAAUUUUCAGCAUUUAGCACAACUCCUGGCAUAGAGUAGCUGCUUAACAAAUGUUUAUUGGCUGACUGAGAAAUUGUCAGGACACAUUCAAUGGAUUGAUCCAGCUGCUGUGGGCCUUAGGGAUGGGAAGAAAGGGAAUGACUACUCUCCCAUAAGUCUCCAGAUGGAACCUCUGAAGUCCAGCUCUUCCCAAGUCCUGAGGGGGAUAUCACAUCAUCUUAGUCAUUACCAUCAGCCCGAGGAAAAAAACAACAAUGUGGUUUAAGAGGGUAACAUGUUCCACAGCGCGGGAAAGGAGAGUGUAGGAAAGUCUGCUCAGCCCACUAGGUCUCCGUCUCUCCAUCUGCCUGUUUCUGUGUGUUUCAGUCUCUCCGUUUCUUUUCCCUCACCCCACCCCCAAGUAUGUGUGUAGCAGAGGGACUCUUCAAUUCUUCGAGGUCAGAAGGUACAGCCUUGUACCCGAGAUCUUCCGGGAGGCACAGAGGCUGCUGAGGAUGAAGCCUCCUCAGGAUGUUGUCCAGAACUCUUCUUUGCCCCUCCUCGGGGAAGAAACAAUACCAUCUGGAGCUUGCAAAAUAAAUUAAUUAAAUACAAGUUUUAGCCGGCAAGCUACUUUCUCUCUCCUCUCUUCUCCCCCCACCCCCUCCCCUGGAAUCUGUCUACAGAAAGCAGUAAACUCUGAGGCUGGCCUGGAAGAUCAGGAGAGUGGGCAGAAAGCAAAUCCCAUCCUCUUCAAAGGAGGUGGAUUGGGAAAGAGGAGGAUCUUCCAGUAAAGAGAGGAUGACUCACGGCUGGGUUAUCUCCCCUCUCACUCUCCGGCCUGGGAAACUGCAAACAAGCCGCUCUCCUUAAAGGCGUACUGCCCUCCCGCCCGCCGGCCGCCCGCCCAGCUGCUCCAGAAGGCACCCGGCUUCUCUCGAAGUCCCCGUCUCCAGCCAGCUUUGGCAAACUAAUUAGCCUCGAAAUGGUCUUAUGAUCAGACUAGAUGAUCAUCCUGCUUAGGAGUGAGGCUUCCAUAAUUAAUUUUUAGGGCAAUAGCUUUAAAGAAAUGCUUUGUGCCCACAGCCAAUUAAUCUUAAUUAUUAACCUCAUAAACAAAGUUAGUACAUUUUGUAAUAAGGCUUGUAGAGACAAAUGUCUUAUCUUAGGCGAUCAAGGCAAAUUACUGGGUAGCCAGACCGAAGCAGUCUGAAGUACAGAAUAUAUACAGAAAUCCUUUAUGUUUUCAGCUCAUUAUUGGGCUCCGUAGUAAGAAUAAUAAUAAUAACGACUGAUAUUUGUUUUAGCACUUUAAAGUUUACAAUAUACUUUUCAGACAUCUUACUUAAUCCUCACAAUCAUCCUGAGGUAAGUAAUGUCAUGUUAUGGUGUUACAGAUAAGUAAACAGAGGCAGAAAUGUUAGUAUCUGAGACAAUAUUCAAAACCAGAUCUUGACAAUCUCAAAGAUAUCUGAAAUACCACUUGUAGUUUACUAAUAUGCUUUUAAAUAGAAAAGUAAUACAAAAUGUAAAAUAAAUCCAGAAAUAUAUUAAUCAAUCAACAAGCAUUAUUAAGUGCCUACUAUAAACUACCCCCCGAGAAUUUAAAAAACAAAAACGAGAGAAAGUCAAUAGAAACUUGUUUCAAAGAGUGCAUUUUUUGCAAGGGAUGUUUAUCCAAAAUAUUCUGAACAGCUAGUUAAGUAAAAAAAGAUUAAUAAGUCAAAACAAAGUGGGAUUUGUAGUUAUCUAGAUAUGUAGACAAAUCAUAAAGACCACCAGAAUGGGAAUCAGGAAAUUCUGGUUCUGCCACUGACUACUGUAUGAUAUUGAGCAAGUUUCUUUGCCUGUGUUUUCUCAUCUGUAAAAUUAAAGGGCUGGACAAGAUACUUUUUAAAGUCUACUGUCUACAUUUUUUAGUCUAAUAAAGGGCUUCUGUGA